Molecule: ribosomal RNA, 253 nt
Filed under: uncultured bacterium
Lineage: Bacteria
Description: partial 16S ribosomal RNA
Rfam family: Bacterial small subunit ribosomal RNA
Source: RNAcentral
UACGGAGGGUGCAAGCGUUGUCCGGAUUUAUUGGGUUUAAAGGGUGUGUAGGUGGCGCGCUAAGUCGGGUGUGAAAUUUCGGAGCUUAACUCCGAAACUGCAUUCGAUACUGGCGUGCUUGAGGACUGGAGAGGAGACUGGAAUUCAUGGUGUAGCAGUGAAAUGCGUAGAGAUCAUGAGGAAGACCAGUGGCGAAGGCGGGUCUCUGGACAGUUCCUGACACUGAGACACGAAGGCCAGGGGAGCAAACGGG